GAUGAACGCUAGCUACAGGCUUAACACAUGCAAGUCGAGGGGAAACGAUAUUGGAAGCUUGCUUCCGAUAGGCGUCGACCGGCGCACGGGUGAGUAACGCGUAUCCAACCUGCCCACCACUUGGGAAUAACCUUGCGAAAGUAAGACUAAAACCCAAUGAUAUCUCUAGAAGACAUCUGAAGGAGAUUAAAGAUUUAUCGGUGAUGGAUGGGGAUGCGUCUGAUUAGCUUGUUGGCGGGGUAACGGCCCACCAAGGCGACGAUCAGUAGGGGUUCUGAGAGGAAGGUCCCCCACAUUGGAACUGAGACACGGUCCAAACUCCUACGGGAGGCAGCAGUGAGGAAUAUUGGUCAAUGGGCGAGAGCCUGAACCAGCCAAGUAGCGUGCAGGAUGACGGCCCUAUGGGUUGUAAACUGCUUUUAUAAGGGAAUAAAGUGAGUCUCGUGAGACUUUUUGCAUGUACCUUAUGAAUAAGGACCGGCUAAUUCCGUGCCAGCCGCCGCGGUAA
Molecule: ribosomal RNA, 508 nt
Filed under: uncultured bacterium
Lineage: Bacteria
Description: partial 16S ribosomal RNA
Rfam family: Bacterial small subunit ribosomal RNA
Source: RNAcentral